UGGCGGAGAACAGGGCCUGCGUGUGGUCGAGCGUGCGUGGGCGCACGCGGGCGUGUGUGUCUGGGCGCCCUGAGCCGAAGGGUCUGUGGCUGGGGCGCGUCCGGGAGUGCGCGCGCGAGUCUGUGCGCCCCAGGAUAGGCGGGUUUCCAAGUGGGGUGGGAUCCGCGCCCCAUUUAUGGCCAUUUAUGGCCGGGAAGAGGGUUCGUGUGCGGAUGUGCGCGUGUGUGUUUGUGCCGCAUCCCUUUUCCCAGAGGCGUUUCCUGAGCGCCUCCUGCGAAACACUGGCCCCUCGAGGCUGGCCUGGCUGCAGGCCCUGUCCUGAGAGUAGGAGUCAGACUCACAGACCAGGUGGUUAGCAGAUGAACCUGUGGCAGUGAGGGCCCAGCCCCGAGAGCAGCGGCCACCGAGAGGUGAAGUUUGGGUGGAGACCUGGAGGUCAGCCUAGUAGAACAGAGGGAAAAGUUUUCUGAGAAGAGGAAACUACAUGUGCAAAGGCCCGGAGGUUGAUGGAGGGCCGGAGGUUGAUGGAGGGCCAGAGCUUGGCGAGUGAGGAACUUCCCAACUCCUAAUCAACUUAUGGCUCCAUACCCAUUGGCUUUGCCUUCUCUGACAUCAGCCCUGCUGUGACUGGCCCAUCAACAGAACGUAUCUUCCAGGCCCCGAUUUUCUUUAUUUGAGAGGGAGAAGCAGACUUGCUGCUGAGCGGAGAGUCGGAUGUGGGGCGGGAUCCCAGAACCCCGAGAUCACCACCUGAGCCACCCAGGCUACCCCUGAAGGAUUUUCUUCUUUAUCUUCCUGUGCACACCCUGAGGACUGAACCUGUGUAGUGUGCUCACUUUGGCCACCUCAGAACUCACAAUGGAAGAUAAAGACUGAGGCCUCAUGGCCUGCCCUUGAAAGAAUAGUUCAUAGGCAAGUCCCCAACUGAGCCCUGCCACAUCGCAGAUGGGACGAGCCACACAGAGCGAACAGUUACAUCAGCUCUCAGACCUGGCCACCUCCACGGGAGCACUUGGCACCAAGAGCCUCAAGUUCUUGGAAACGGGAAUUAGCCAAGAAAACAGGUUCAUGAAAUAAUAAUGUAUGUUCUCUGUAGAAAUGUCCAUCACUGGAUGAACUGUGAGUACCUUAACUGCAUGGUCUUCCCUGUUGCCUGACUAACCCCUGCCUGCAUCACUCUGUUUUUAUUGCUGCCUGAUACCUAUAUUUACCUGCUUACUUAUUUUCCCUCUACCGGUAGUUAAGUUUUUGCCCCUGCCGCAUCCCCAACACCUAGGACAGUGCCCAGCAUUGGUAAGUGUUCAGUAAUAUUUGCCAAAUAAACAAAUGAAUGAACAAUUAGAGUCUUGGGGCACUUGGCUGGCUCAGUCAGUAGAGCACGAGACUCUGGAUCUCAGGGUCUUGAGUUUGAGCCCCAUGUUGGGUGUAGUGUUUACUUAAGAAAACAAAACAAAAUCAAAUUAGAGUCUUUCUGUUGCAUGCUUACUAUGUACUGGGCACAUUUAUUUAAUCCUCAUGACAACCCUAUGAGGGAGGUGAUACUGUAUUUUACAGUUGAAGAAUCUGAGGUUUGGAGAGAUGAAGUGAUUUGAUGCAGGUUAUGAGGUAGUGAGUGUCCCCAGGAACUUAGUUUCCUUCACUCAAGACAAUGGAACAAUCAAAGGAUGAGAAAUCCUACUGGGCAGUGGUCCUCGUGCCCUCCAUCAGUAUCUCACACUGGGAGGUGGGUUGGAGCCCAGUCGUGCUCAGCUUCACAGCCUGGGAUGCAGGCAAGGAGCCCAAGGGCCAGCAGAGUGCCCAGACUCCAUCCCUGGCUGAGAUCUGGUUUCAGGUGGAAAGAUGAGAAAGCUGCACACAGCUCCUCACAUGAGUCCAGGAUGAACACAGUAUCCAGGAACAGGUUGAUUGCUCCUUUCUGAUGUUUCUCAGUACAGACUCAGCCAUUGAAAUUUUUAGAACAUACUGUUUUUUUCAGGUGGAUCCAAAGUUUAAUUAAAUGUUUCAGAAAAAAAAAAUGAGCUAUAAAAAUACUGAAGAAACAAAGGGAAAAUUUUGUAGAAUCUUGGAAUGAAGGAGGCCUUCUGAGUAUGUCACCAAACUCAGCAACCAUAAAAGAAAAAAAAAUCGAUAAAUUCAUUUACAUUAAAAAUUGAAAGCCUGUGUGGAAAAAGCCACCAUCAAAGCCAAAACACAAACAACAAACUGUAAUUGGCUACAAACAACAUACUUGUAACUCACUUCAAAAUAAAGAGCUCUAGGGCACCUGAGUGGCUCAGUCAGUUAGGUGUCCAACUCUUGAUUUUGGCUCAGGUCACGGUCUCGGGGUCAGGGGUCAAGUCCCGAGGUGGGCUCCCUGCUCAGUGGGGAGUCUGCUGGAGAUUCUCUCUCUCCCUCUCUCUUUCUCUCUCUCUCAAUAAAUAAAUAAAUCUUAAUAAAUAAAUAAAGAGCUCUCAAAUCAAUAAGAAAAAGCCCAAUGGCUCACUAAGAAACUGGGCAGAUACAGACUAUCCACAGAAAAAGAAAUACAAAUAGGUCUCUCAGAACUAUAGAAAAUUGAUUAUCCUUUCUUACUAAGUUAAAUGGAAAUCAAACUAGACUUGCAUAUCUUUAUAGGGAAGAUUAAAAACUUUAAUGAAAAACUAUGAUGGGAAAAUAGGCUGAUGGGAGAGUAAAUCAGUGCAACCUUCAUGUAGGACAAUAUCUACAAAUUGUAAAUGUGUAUGCUCCCCUCCUUUUAUGAAUUAAGGUGAAAUUCACAUUACAUAAAAUUAACCGGGGCGCCUGUGCGGCCCAGUCAGUUGAGCAUCUGCUCAGGUCAUGAUCCCAGGAUCCUGGGAUGGAGCCCCAUGUCCAGCUCCCUGCUCAAUGGGGAGCCUGCUUCUCCCUCUCCCUUUCCCUCUCCCCCUGCUUGUGCGCUCUCUGUCAAAUAAAUAAAUAAAAUCUUAAAAAAAAAAUUAACCAUCUUAAGGUGAUCAAGUGAGUGUAUUCACUAUGUUGUGCAACCACCAUCUCUAGUUCUAAAACAUUUUCAUCACUCCGAAAGAAAACUGUACUCGUUAAGCAGUUAUUCCCCAUUCGUCCCUCCUCCAGCCCCUGGCCACCUGCAGUCUGCUUUCCGUUUCCAUGGAUUGACCUAUUCUGGAUAUUUCAUAUGAAUGGAAGCAUAAAACGUGUGACCUUUUAUAUCUGACUUUUUUCACUUAGCAAAAUGCUUUGGAGGCUCAUCCACAUUGUGGCAUGUGACAGUACUUCUCUUUUUAUGGCUGAAGAAUAUUCCAUUGCACAUGUAUACUACAAUUUGUUUAUCCAUUCAUCCAGAUGAUGGACAUUUGUGUCAUUUCCACCUUUGGGCUAUGGUGAAUAGGGCUGCUAUGAGAACAAUAAAUGCCUUUGCCCCAAAA
Molecule: long non-coding RNA, 3401 nt
Organism: Mirounga angustirostris (Northern elephant seal)
Lineage: Eukaryota; Metazoa; Chordata; Mammalia; Carnivora; Phocidae
Exons: 2
Source: RefSeq, a predicted model, not a curated record